RNAcentral lists this ribosomal RNA (252 nucleotides) under uncultured bacterium. Its description in RNAcentral is "partial 16S ribosomal RNA". It matches the Rfam family "Bacterial small subunit ribosomal RNA", at positions 524 to 776 of the family's 1533-position model. The record is from RNAcentral.
UACGGAGGAUGCGAGCGUUAUCCGGAUUUAUUGGGUUUAAAGGGUGCGUAGGCGGACUGUCAAGUCAGCGGUAAAAUUGAGAGGCUUAACCUCUUCCCGCCGUUGAAACUGGUGGUCUUGAGUGGAUGAGAAGUACGCGGAAUGCGUGGUGUAGCGGUGAAAUGCAUAGAUAUCACGCAGAACUCCGAUUGCGAAGGCAGCGUACCGGCAUCCAACUGACGCUGAGGCACGAAAGCGUGGGGAUCAAACAGG